This 62-nucleotide transfer RNA is filed under the name Histeroidea sp. 3 KM-2017. RNAcentral describes it as "tRNA-Arg". The record is from RNAcentral. Lineage: Eukaryota; Metazoa; Arthropoda; Insecta; Coleoptera.
AAAUAAGAAACAAAACUUGUAUUUAGUUUCGACCUAAAAUUUUGGCUCAAAGCCCUUAUUUU